This is a long non-coding RNA of Mustela lutreola (European mink), 460 nucleotides long. RefSeq lists it as uncharacterized. NCBI's taxonomy places the organism in Eukaryota, Metazoa, Chordata, Mammalia, Carnivora, Mustelidae. The transcript is spliced from 4 exons. The record is from RefSeq and is a predicted model, not a curated record.
CGGUCUCCCAAUAUGGCGGCUCCCUUAUGAAUUGGCCAACUGGGAGCCGCCAUAAUCUGUUUCACAAGGUCCUGGCUUCCUGGGAUAAAAUAGUUCUAUGAGGAAAAAAGUGAAGGUACGAAGAUCAGCACUGCAUCCUUAUCCAGAGACCUUGAACUAGAGAUUCAGAAUAGAGCCCAGAAUCAACAACAGAGCAGAUAUUAGAUUUUCUGAUGGUAUAUAUAAGGACUCCAGAAAAUGUCUCAAGGAUCACUGUCAUUCAAGGAUGUGGCUAUGGUUUUCACGUGGGAGGAGUGGCAGCUACUGGACCGUGUUCAGAAAAUCCUGUAUCAAGAUGUGAUGUUGGAAAAUUAUAGCAACCUAGUAUCAGUGGGGUAUCAAGUUACCAAAGCAGAUGCAUUCUACCAGUUGGAACGUGGAACACAAUGGAUAACAGAGGAAGAAAUCCAGAGUCAGACUC